This 114-nucleotide ribosomal RNA is filed under the name uncultured bacterium. RNAcentral's name for it is "partial 16S ribosomal RNA". The record is from RNAcentral.
UGGGUGAUCUGCCCUGCACUUUGGGUUAAGCCUGGGAAACUGGGUCUAAUACCGGAUAUACCCUGCUGGUCGCAUGGCCUGGUGGGGGAAAGCUUUUGCGGUGUGGGAUGGGCC